CGGUUGAUCCUGCCGGACCCGACUGCUAUUUGGGUGAGGAUAAGCCAUGCGAGUUGAAUGGGAAACCUAAAAAUCCCAUGGCAAACUGCUCAGUAACACAUGAUCAACUUACCCUAUAGAGGAAAAUAACCUCGGGAAACUGAGGAUAAUGUUCCAUAGUUGAAUUGGCUUGGAAAAGUUUUNCAAUAAAAGGGAUAAGGAAAAUGGUUCUUAUCUGCUAUAGGAUAGGAUCGUGCUCGAUUAUGGUUGUUGGUGAGGUAAAGGCUCACCAAGCCAAUAAUCGAUAGGGGCCGUGAGAGCGGGAGCCCCGAGAUGGGUACUGAGACAACGACCCAGGCCUUACGAGGCGCAGCAGGCGCGAAACCUCCGCAAUACACGAAAGUGUGACGGGGUUACCCAAAGUGUUCUAUUUAGAACUGUGGCAGGUGAGUAAUGUUCCCUACUAGAAAGGAGAGGGCAAGGCUGGUGCCAGCCGCCGCGGUAAAACCAGCUCUUCAAGUGGUCGGGAUAAUUAUUGGGCUUAAAGUGUCCGUAGCCGGUUUAGUAAGUUCCUGGUAAAAUCGGGUAGCUUAACUAUCUAUAUGCUAGGAAUACUGCUAUACUAGAGGGCGGGAGAGGUCUGAGGUACUACAGGGGUAGGGGUGAAAUCUUAUAAUCCUUGUAGGACCACCAGUGGCGAAGGCGUCAGACUGGAACGCGCCUGACGGUGAGGGACGAAAGCCAGGGGAGCGAACCGGAUUAGAUACCCGGGUAGUCCUGGCCGUAAACGAUGCAUACUAGGUGAUGGCACGGCCAUGAGCCGUGUCAGUGCCGUAGGGAAACCGUUAAGUGUGCCGCCUGGGAAGUACGGUCGCAAGGCUAAAACUUAAAGGAAUUGGCGGGGGAGCAC
This 889-nucleotide ribosomal RNA is filed under the name uncultured archaeon. RNAcentral describes it as "bacterial SSU rRNA". It matches the Rfam family "Archaeal small subunit ribosomal RNA", at positions 5 to 879 of the family's 1478-position model. The record is from RNAcentral.